This 830-nucleotide ribosomal RNA is filed under the name uncultured archaeon. Its description in RNAcentral is "bacterial SSU rRNA". It matches the Rfam family "Archaeal small subunit ribosomal RNA", at positions 21 to 859 of the family's 1478-position model. The record is from RNAcentral.
AGGCCACUGCUAUCGGAGUUCGAUUAAGCCAUGCGAGUCGAGAGGUGUAAGACCUCGGCAUACUGCUCAGUAACACGUGGACAACCUACCCUGAAGAGGGGGAUAACCCCGGGAAACUGGGGAUAAUACCCCAUAGACUAUGGAUGCUGGAAUGCUUUGUAGUUGAAAGGUCCGCCGCUUCAGGAUGGGUCUGCGGCCGAUUAGGUUGUUGUUGGGGUAACGGCCCAACAAGCCUGUAAUCGGUACGGGUUGUGGGAGCAAGAGCCCGGAGAUGGAUUCUGAGACACGAAUCCAGGCCCUACGGGGCGCAGCAGGCGCGAAAACUUUACAAUGCGAGCAAUCGUGAUAAGGGAACUCCGAGUGCCUGUAAAAUCAGGCUGUCCGCCAGUGUAAAUAACUGGUGAAGAAAGGGCCGGGCAAGACCGGUGCCAGCCGCCGCGGUAAUACCGGCGGCUCGAGUGGUGGCCACUAUUACUGGGCUUAAAGCGUUCGUAGCUGGUCUGUUAAGUCUCUGGGGAAAUCUUCCGGCUUAACCGGAAGGCGUCUCAGGGAUACUGGCAGACUAGGGACCGGAAGAGGUGAGAGGUACUCCAGGGGUAGGAGUGAAAUCCUGUAAUCCUUGGGGGACCACCUGUGGCGAAGGCGUCUCACCAGGACGGCUCCGACAGUGAGGAACGAAAGCUGGGGGAGCAAACCGGAUUAGAUACCCGGGUAGUCCCAGCUGUAAACGAUGCGCGUUAGGUGUAUCGGUGACCACGAGUCACCGAGGUGCCGAAGAGAAAUCGUGAAACGUGCCGCCUGGGAAGUACGGUCGCAAGGCUGAAACUUAA